GGCGGACGGGUGAGUAACGCGUGGGAAUAUGCCCUUCUCUAAGGAAUAGCCUCUGGAAACGGAGAGUAAUACCUUAUACGCCCUUCGGGGGAAAGAUUUAUCGGAGAAGGAUUAGCCCGCGUUAGAUUAGGUAGUUGGUGGGGUAAUGGCCUACCAAGCCUACGAUCUAUAGCUGGUUUGAGAGGAUGAUCAGCCACACUGGGACUGAGACACGGCCCAGACUCCUACGGGAGGCAGCAGUAGGGAAUCUUAGACAAUGGGGGCAACCCUGAUCUAGCCAUGCCGCGUGUGUGAUGAAGGCCCUAGGGUCGUAAAGCACUUUCGCCAGAGAUGAUAAUGACAGUAUCUGGUAAAGAAACCCCGGCUAACUCCGUGCCAGCAGCCGCGGUAAUACGGAGGGGGUUAGCGUUGUUCGGAAUUACUGGGCGUAAAGCGCACGUAGGCGGAUUAGUAAGUUAGAGGUGAAAUCCCAGGGCUCAACCCUGGAACUGCCUUUAAUACUGCUAGUCUUGAGUUCGAGAGAGGUAAGUGGAAUUCCGAGUGUAGAGGUGAAAUUCGUAGAUAUUCGGAGGAACACCAGUGGCGAAGGCGGCUUACUGGCUCGAUACUGACGCUGAGG
RNAcentral lists this ribosomal RNA (619 nucleotides) under uncultured Paracoccaceae bacterium. Its description in RNAcentral is "bacterial SSU rRNA". It matches the Rfam family "Bacterial small subunit ribosomal RNA", at positions 97 to 751 of the family's 1533-position model. The record is from RNAcentral. Lineage: Bacteria; Pseudomonadati; Pseudomonadota; Alphaproteobacteria; Rhodobacterales; Paracoccaceae.